GGGGGCAUGGCGAAAUUGGUAGACGCAGCGGACUUAAAAUCCGUAGCCAGUUAAAUGGUGUGGGGGUUCAAGUCCCCCUGCCCCCA
RNAcentral lists this transfer RNA (86 nucleotides) under Paulinella chromatophora. Its description in RNAcentral is "tRNA-Leu". It matches the Rfam family "tRNA". Rfam says of the family: Transfer RNA (tRNA) molecules are approximately 80 nucleotides in length. Their secondary structure includes four short double-helical elements and three loops (D, anti-codon, and T loops). Lineage: Eukaryota; Cercozoa; Imbricatea; Euglyphida; Paulinellidae. The record is from RNAcentral.